UCAACUCAUAACCACAAUGUGCAACCUUGCACUCUCAAAAGAUUGCUCAAAACAUAAUAAUUCCCAUCCAACACCAGGAAAACAGACUUCACUCCAACCAAUUUGGAUCCACACAAUUUCUGUAAUCAUAGACUUCUUCUGUCCAAAACACACAUAACUCUCGAUGAACAACAAUCAUAAUCUUUCAAUCAUAAUCAAUCUUCCAAUAACUUCUCAUAUAAUUCAAUCACAUAAUACUCCAAUUACAUAAUCAAUAACUCAUAAAUCAAUCUCUGAUUUAUUCUACAGACUCACUUCUCAGUAUUCAAAAACUAUCCAUUAUUCUUCAACAACAAAGAAAACAAAGAAAACAAAGAAGUAGCACCGAGCUUAACCCAUGCUCAUGACUAUCAUAGUCUAGCCCCUCAACAAACUUUUACAACUCCUACAUAAUUGCUACUGAUUUCUAGAUUCUAACUGUAAUCCUAUAAUAA
This 473-nucleotide long non-coding RNA is filed under the name Physcomitrium patens. RNAcentral describes it as "long non-coding RNA (PPAT_LNC000252)". Lineage: Eukaryota; Viridiplantae; Streptophyta; Bryopsida; Funariales; Funariaceae. The record is from RNAcentral.